Molecule: ribosomal RNA, 2696 nt
Filed under: Morganella morganii subsp. morganii KT
Lineage: Bacteria; Pseudomonadati; Pseudomonadota; Gammaproteobacteria; Enterobacterales; Morganellaceae
Description: bacterial LSU rRNA
Rfam family: Bacterial large subunit ribosomal RNA (bases 731-2695)
Source: RNAcentral
GCACAAGCGGUGGAGCAUGUGGUUUAAUUCGAUGCAACGCGAAGAACCUUACCUACUCUUGACAUCCAGAGAACUUAGCAGAGAUGCUUUGGUGCCUUCGGGAACUCUGAGACAGGUGCUGCAUGGCUGUCGUCAGCUCGUGUUGUGAAAUGUUGGGUUAAGUCCCGCAACGAGCGCAACCCUUAUCCUUUGUUGCCAGCGCGUGAUGGCGGGAACUCAAAGGAGACUGCCGGUGAUAAACCGGAGGAAGGUGGGGAUGACGUCAAGUCAUCAUGGCCCUUACGAGUAGGGCUACACACGUGCUACAAUGGCGUAUACAAAGGGAAGCGACCCCGCGAGGGCAAGCGGAACUCAUAAAGUACGUCGUAGUCCGGAUUGGAGUCUGCAACUCGACUCCAUGAAGUCGGAAUCGCUAGUAAUCGUAGAUCAGAAUGCUACGGUGAAUACGUUCCCGGGCCUUGUACACACCGCCCGUCACACCAUGGGAGUGGGUUGCAAAAGAAGUAGGUAGCUUAACCUCCGGGAGGGCGCUUACCACUUUGUGAUUCAUGACUGGGGUGAAGUCGUAACAAGGUAACCGUAGGGGAACCUGCGGUUGGAUCACCUCCUUACCUAGUUGGUAUUGAAUGUGAGUGUUCACACAGAUUGUCUGAUAGAAAGAAGCAGAUACCGGGAAUAGGCUUGUAGCUCAGGUGGUUAGAGCGCACCCCUGAUAAGGGUGAGGUCGGUGGUUCAAGUCCACUCAGGCCUACCAAAACCGAAUUGAUACUGCGUUAUGAAAAGACUCGUUUACCUUAGUAAACUUCGCCUUUCCAUGCCUUGUCUCAAUGCGGUUUCCUCUUUUCAUGAUGAAAAGACACGCCCGGGAAAACCAAAUAAUGGGGCUAUAGCUCAGCUGGGAGAGCGCCUGCCUUGCACGCAGGAGGUCAGCGGUUCGAUCCCGCUUAGCUCCACCAUUAUCUAAUAUUGUUUGGGUAGGGGAGCGUUCUGUAAGCCUGUGAAGGUGUGCUGUGAGGCAUGCUGGAGGUAUCAGAAGUGCGAAUGCUGACAUAAGUAACGAUAAUGCGGGUGAAAAACCCGCACGCCGGAAGACCAAGGGUUCCUGUCCAACGUUAAUCGGGGCAGGGUGAGUCGACCCCUAAGGCGAGGCUGAAAAGCGUAGUCGAUGGGCAACGGGUUAAUAUUCCCGUACUGGUGGUAACUGCGAAGGGGGGACGGAGAAAGCUAAAUCAUCCGGGCGACGGUUGUCCCGGUUUAAGCGUGCAGGUGGACUGACCAGGCAAAUCCGGUCGGUUGUUAACACUGAGGCGUGACGACGAGCCACUACGGUGGUGAAGUGAUUGAUGCUCUGCUUCCGGGAAAAGCCUCUAAGCUCCAGGUUACCAUUAAUCGUACCCCAAACCGACACAGGUGGUCAGGUAGAGAAUACUCAGGCGCUUGAGAGAACUCGGGUGAAGGAACUAGGCAAAAUGGUGCCGUAACUUCGGGAGAAGGCACGCUGGCAUUAGGUGAAGUGGUUUACCCACGGAGCUGAAGCCAGCCGCAGAUACCAGCUGGCUGCAACUGUUUAUUAAAAACACAGCACUGUGCAAACACGAAAGUGGACGUAUACGGUGUGACGCCUGCCCGGUGCCGGAAGGUUAAUUGAUGAGGUCAGCCGCAAGGCGAAGCUUCUGAUCGAAGCCCCGGUAAACGGCGGCCGUAACUAUAACGGUCCUAAGGUAGCGAAAUUCCUUGUCGGGUAAGUUCCGACCUGCACGAAUGGCGUAAUGAUGGCCAGGCUGUCUCCACCCGAGACUCAGUGAAAUUGAACUCGCUGUGAAGAUGCAGUGUACCCGCGGCAAGACGGAAAGACCCCGUGAACCUUUACUAUAGCUUGACACUGAACAUUGAGCCUUGAUGUGUAGGAUAGGUGGGAGGCAACGAAGUGUGGACGCCAGUCUGCACGGAGCCAUCCUUGAAAUACCACCCUUUAACGUUUGAUGUUCUAACCCGGGUCCAUAAUCUGGAUCGGGGACCGUGUCUGGUGGGUAGUUUGACUGGGGCGGUCUCCUCCCAAAGAGUAACGGAGGAGCACGAAGGUUGGCUAAGCAUGGUCGGACAUCAUGCGGUUAGUGCAAAGGCAUAAGCCAGCUUGACUGCGAGAGUGACGGCUCGAGCAGGUACGAAAGUAGGUCUUAGUGAUCCGGUGGUUCUGAAUGGAAGGGCCAUCGCUCAACGGAUAAAAGGUACUCCGGGGAUAACAGGCUGAUACCGCCCAAGAGUUCAUAUCGACGGCGGUGUUUGGCACCUCGAUGUCGGCUCAUCACAUCCUGGGGCUGAAGUAGGUCCCAAGGGUAUGGCUGUUCGCCAUUUAAAGUGGUACGCGAGCUGGGUUUAGAACGUCGUGAGACAGUUCGGUCCCUAUCUGCCGUGGGCGCUGGAAGAUUGAGAGGGGUUGCUCCUAGUACGAGAGGACCGGAGUGAACGCACCACUGGUGUACGGGUUGUGAUGCCAAUUGCAUUGCCCGGUAGCUAAGUGCGGAAGAGAUAACCGCUGAAAGCAUCUAAGCGGGAAACUUGCCUCGAGAUGAGUCUUCCCUGACCCUUUAAGGGUCCUGAAGGAACGUUUGAGACUAAGACGUUGAUAGGCUGGGUGUGUAAGCGCAGCGAUGCGUUGAGCUGACCAGUACUAAUGAACCGGGAGGCUUAACCUG